This 2502-nucleotide ribosomal RNA is filed under the name Tsengia laciniata. RNAcentral's name for it is "partial large subunit ribosomal RNA". The record is from RNAcentral. Lineage: Eukaryota; Rhodophyta; Florideophyceae; Halymeniales; Tsengiaceae.
GCCCAAAAUGAAAANCCANCUUGCUGGCGUUGUAGUUGAGCGACCUUGGGGUGUCAGUCUGGGUAAGUCGCAUGGAAAUGCGUGCCGUGGAGGGUGAGAGCCCCGUCCAUCYCAUUCAGGACACCCCGCACAAGGGCGUUUCAGACGAGUCGGGUAGCUUGGGAAUGCUGCUCUAAUUGGUGGUAAAUCUCAUCAAAGGCUAAAUAWCGGUGGGAGACCGAUAGCGAACAAGUACCGUGAGGGAAAGAUGACAAGCACUUUGAAAAGAGGGUGAAAAGAGCCUGAAACCGUUACGGGGGAAGCGGAUCGCGUUGGCCUGGUGGCCGCCUGUGUGUUCAGCCUUCGGGUGCAUUGAUGCAGGUGGUUAUCCGUCGUGGCUUCUCGGUGGCCGAAUUUGGGCUGCUGGGGGGUGAGGGCUCCCUUCGGGUGAGGACGACGGAGUGACGACGCGAUACGACCCGUCUUGAAACACGGACCAAGGAGUCUAGCGCGGGUGCGAGUCGGAGGGUGUUAAAACCCGUGGGCGAAGUGAAAGCGAGUGUAAAAACGAGCAGUUUGAGGCGGCAUAGAAUCGUUGAUUCUAGGUCCGACCUUGAGCAGUUGCGCUGGGACCCGAAAGAUGGUGAACUAUGCCGGAGUAGGGCAAAGCCAGAAGAAAUUCUGGUGGAGGCUCGUAGCGGUGCUGACGUGCAAAUCGCUCGUCGAACUUGGGUAUAGGGGCGAAAGACUAAUCGARCCAUCUAGUAGCUGGUUCCCUCCGAAGUUUCUCUCAGGAUAGCGGGCCGACAAGUUGUUUUGUGCGGUAAAGCGAAUGAUUAGCGCAUUCGGGGCCGUUUAGGCUUUGGGCGAUUCUCAAACUUUCAAUGCGCAAGGGUACCGGUGCUUUGUUGAGCGGUACCGAUAAAAACGUCGGCCUUGUGGGCCACUUUUGGUAAGCAGAACUGGCGAUACGGGAUGAACCGUAAGCAUGGUUAAGGCCUGCCGAAUGAAUUAGCCCUGAAAAUGGAUGGCGCUUAAGCGGGCGACCGACACCAUGCCGUCUGUGAAAUAAUUCAGAUGAGUAGGAGGGCGUGGCGGCCGUGUCGAAGCGUGCUUGCAGAGGCAUGUGGAACGGCCGCUAGUGCAGAUCUUGGUGGUAGUAGCAAAUAUUCAAGCGAGAUCCUUGAAGGGCGAAGCGGGGAAGGGUUCCACGCGAACAUUGAUUGGGCGUGGGUGAGUCGUUCCUAAGCCGAGUGGCGAUUGCUAAGUAGCGGCGAAAGGGAAGCGGGUUGACAUUCCCGCACACGGAUGUGGAGGCGGUGACGCUUUAUUGGGGCGAACACGCUGGCGGUGGCGCUGGGCAGAGUUGUCUUUUCUGUUUGACCGCUGAUGCACGCGGUGUGGAAUCCGCUUGUCGGGAGAAACACGCGUGUACGGGCAGAGCGCCGGGGCUUUUCCGGCGUCCAGCUCGCCACCGACGGCCCUUGAAACUUUGCCUGCUGGUAUUUUUUAUUAAGAUCCACGCCGUGGCGUACCGAUCACCGCAUCAGGUCCCCAAGGUGAACAGCCUCUGCUCGAUAUGAACAAUGCAGGUAAGGGAAGUCGGCAAAUUGGACCCGUAACUUUGGGAAAAGGGUUGGCUCUAGUGCUGCGUGGGAGUGGUUGUCGAGUGUUGGUGUGUUUAGGCUUGCUGGAAUGAGCGCGGGCCUUCGGGACUGUGUUUAUCUGGCGGGCCCGGGCGCGCCACGCUCGACGACGCCCACAGCAUGCAGCAGACUAGAACUGCAACGGGCAAAGGGAAUCCGACUGUUUAAUUAAAACAAAGCAUUGCGAGGGCCGUGGCCGGUGAUGACGCAAUGUGAUUUCUGCUCAGUGCUCUGAAUGUCAAAGUGAAGAGAUUCAAUCAAGCGCGGGUAAACAGCGGGAGUAACUAUGACUCUCUUAAGGUAGCCAAAUGCCUCGUCAUCUAAUUAGUGACGCGCAUGAAUGGAUUAACGAGAUUCCUACUGUCCCUAUCUGCUUCUAGCGAAACCACAGCCGAGGGAACGGGCUCGGCGAAAUCGGCGGGGAAAGAAGACCCUGUUGAGCUUGACUCUAUUCUAAUUUUGUGAAGCAAGCUGGGAGGUGUAGCAUAGGUGGGAGACUUCGGUCGUCCGUGAAAUACCACUACUCCCAGUCUUGCUUUACUUACUGGGUCGGUGUGGAUGAGUCUUACGACUCUUUUCUGGAACCAACCUGAUUUAAUUCGGGGACCACAGCUCAGUACACAUUUAGGAGGGGAGUUUGGCUGGGGCGGUACAUCUUCUACAAGACAACGAAGGUGUCCAAAGAUAAGCUCAGUGAGAACAGAAAUCUCACGUAGCGCAAAAGGGUAAAAGCUUGUUUGAUUUUGAUUUUCAGUGCGAGUCAAAAACGCGAAAGCGUGGCCUAUCGAUCCUUUCACGAUUCGAGAUUUGAAGCGAGAGGUGUCAGAAAAGUUACCACAGGGAUAACUGGCUUGUGGCGGCCAAGCGUUCAUAGCGA